Molecule: long non-coding RNA, 2547 nt
Filed under: Diabrotica virgifera virgifera (western corn rootworm)
Lineage: Eukaryota; Metazoa; Arthropoda; Insecta; Coleoptera; Chrysomelidae
Description: uncharacterized LOC126883011
Source: RNAcentral
GUCAUCACAUUUCAUUUUCAUAACAUAACCGAUAACCUAAAAAUUUAGUAAAAAAGUAAAAAUUUUGAUUGGAAAAAAAUGCAUCGAUAAGGGGAUGUGGGAAAUGAAAAUUAGUGGCUUUUUUGCUGUACUGUCUGCUAGUUUUUGCUCUGGGCACUGGCUAGAUCUCUUGUUUAAACAAUUUUAAUCGGCUGAAAGUGGCCUACAAAAAAAAAACCAAGAAGGAAAUGUAUAGCCUUGUGGCUAUGAAAGGCAAAAGAGUGAUAUAAAAAGUGUAUUGGCUAGUUGGAAGAAAGUCCACAUUGUCCAUGCAUAAUAAGUUAUUACAUUAUCAACAAAUAUCAAGAAGAUAGCAGGGUCACGAGCAUCAACUUCAUGAGUUCAAGAAUAUCGAGGAAAUCCAGCUCCUCGAUACUACUGGGCAAACUAGAAGAUUGAAGAGGACAAAUCCUUUUGAACUAGUUUGAGUGAUAGGUGAUAGUGAAAAACGGAGCAUAGUGCUUGUGUGCUGUGCCUGUGUAUGUUAGAAUAGUGCACGAUCUUGUUAGAUUAGAUAAGAGACGCUAUGGGGUAAGCUCUUCAUUUUAAGAAACAGUAGUAAUUUAGGCUAAAUUAAAAUUGCUCAUUGGUCAGUUAUGACCAGAUUGUUUUUUUAUGUUUGGCAAAAAGGACUUAAGUCAGAAUUGCACAUUGAUAAUGUUUUGAUGAUUUCUGGACCAGAAAAAAACUGUUGUAGAUGUAAACUGUAUGUACAGUAGAAUCUACUACAGUACUGUAGAAAUCAUCAAAACAUUAUCGAUGUGCAAUUCUGACUUAAGCCCUUUUUCCCAAACAUCAGAGAAUUGUAAUGUACAAUAAUUCUCCUAUCUGCUUUUUCAUGAAUUUUGUAGGAGACGAAAAACCAUUUUUAGGAUCAUCUGCUUUCACAUGUUUUGUAGUAAAUAGAUAGUUGAAUUUACUACAAAACAUGUCAAAAAAUAUAUGAAAACAGGAGGUGACUAUAAAAAAAGUUUUUAGUCUCUCUUACAAAACUCAUGAAAAAACAAAUUGGAGGUAUGUCACAUCAGUGACUAAGAAUGUCUAAAAAAUAUACUUUGAUGUCCCAAGAACCAAAUAUAACCUACAGUCCAUCUAAUUUACUUACUGUUGCACGUCAUUAUCUACGCCAGAGAUCUAAGUUGACAUAGUUGCCAAAGUAUAAAAAGAUCCUGAAUCCAUUUUAAAUCAAAUAUGUCACAUAAUUAUUGUAAACGUGGAUUAUACAACAAAACAAAUUAAUAUUCAAUGUAAAUAAGUAAAAACUUAAGAAAUAGAGAACAAGAAUUAAGUUAUAAUCUUUUAAGAUUUGCAGUGCAAGAGUUUUUGCACUGCAUUGUUAAUAAUUAAAAAACGGCUCCGAACUCUUGGCAAAAAGCCGGUAGGUUUCUUUGUAUAAGUAUGUCUACAAUAACAACUAAAAAAGUUGUCAGAUACCUCGAUUAUUCCAAGUCGUUAUAAAAUUAGGUGAAAUUUAUAUUUUUAUAGUAGAGGAUCUUUUUAUAGUAAAGUAAAUAAUAAAAACAGUAAAUAUAAUAAAUAAAACAGAUACUUAUAGUAAAGAAUAUAAACAAAUAUGAAGUGUCAUCACCGUAACUGUCAAAUAAAUGUUACCAAUUUAUUCUAAAAUGUCACCUUCGUUCGAUUACAGUUACAGUGUGAUCCGAACAAAUCUGCUUCAUAAAAACGCUUUACAAUCCAUUUAUACAAAUUAAAUGAAACAUAUUAUUGUGUAUUUCUUUAGGUUAACAUUAAUAGAAAUCUUCAAAUAUUAUUUCUACGCGUAUAUAAUAAAAUAUGUCUAGUGGCUGUAAUUCCAGUGUACUCAGCAAAGUGAUUCUAAAAAAGAACACACCUACCGCCUAAAUAUUUCGUGUUGGUAUCAUGCAACCUCACAGGCUACGACGCGGAUGACGCGCAACAGUUAGUAAAUUAGACGAAGUAUGUAGAUAUAUACAGGGUGUAACAAAAAUACAGGUCAUAAAUUUAAUCACAUAUUCUGGGACCAAAAAUAGUUUGAUUGGACCUAACUUACCUUAGUACAAAUGUGCACACAAGAAAAGUUACAGCCCUUUGAAGUUAUAUAUAUAUAUAUAAUAGCACCAAGGGUCUUAGAGGCCCAUGGCUUGAAAAGUUUGUUUUUUUUCUUCAUUUUCACGUUUCUUUAUGUACUGAGAUCUUCUCUGGCUUGAUAUGUGAUUUUUCUCCAUUCCUUCCUGUUAUUCAUUUUUCUUUUCUGACCCUGUAGCACCAUUCUUUCCAAAUCUUUUUCGACCUCUUGCUUCCAUCUAUUUUUCGGCCUUCCUCUUCUCUUUCUUGAAGCUGUAGUGUAGUUUAGUACCAUUUUUGGAGUCCUCGUGUUUGGCAUCCUUUCAAUGUGACCUCGCCAUCUAAGUCUCUGUGCCUUUAUCAUUCAUUUGAAGUUACAAGAUGAAGUGAUUUUUUCCAAUAUAUCGAAAACUAUUAGAGAUUUUUUAUUGAAAAUGGACAUGUGGCAUUAUUAUGGCAGCA